UUCACUGUCAAAUAUUAUUUUUACAAAGGAACCCAUAUAUAAUUUUGUGGAAACAUAAAAAAAAUGCUUGAUCGAUUAGUUUACUUUUUAUUAAUCAAAUAAAUAUGUGUAUUACAAUUUUUACAAAAUUCUCGCACAAGAGAACAACAAAAAUAUAAAUUUAUGUAUAUUAAAAACAACAACAAGUCAACAAUCAUAAAGGAACAAAUAUUCAAAUGGUAAAACAUUUUACAUGUAACCGUAUAGUAAACAAUCAUAUUAUAUAAACUUCUCGUGGUCGUGAAUGCUAUAAAUUGUUGUUGGGUAUUUUUUUCGUUCCUUUGUUUCGUGUAUGUGAAUUUUGUGCACGUGAGUUUCUUAUUUGCGUGAGUUUUUGUUUUCGUGUCAAUUGCUUUGCUCUUGUUUUUGUUUUGGUGGUGUCGUACGUUUUUGUGAAGUUGUUUUUUGUUUUGGUGGUGUCGUACGUUUUCGUGAAGUUUUUUUUUGUUUUGGUGGUGUUGUAUGUUUUCGUGAAGUUUUUUUUUUGUUUUGGUGGUGUUGUAUGUUUUUGUUUUUGUUUUUGUGUGUCGUAUGUUUUUGUUNNNNNNNNNNNNNNNNNNNNNNNNGUUUUUGUUUUUGUGUGUUGUAUGUUUUUGUUUUUGUGUGUUGUAUGUUUUUGUUUUCAAUGUUUUGUUUUUGUGAAUUUUUGACAAGAUACAAGAGACAUAAGGAGAGAGAAACUUUCACCUUACUUAUCACUUACUCUUGGAUCUCCAGAUUAUUUGUGACAUAAGGAUGGAUACAUCUUGUUAGGGAGAAAAUCUGAACAGAGCAAACCAUAUAUUAGACAAGAACAUAAACUAAAUGCAGAAUUGACUACAGCCUCCAGCAAAAAAGUGAAACUUACAUGUAUAUAGUGUGUAUUCCUGAGCAAAAUUGGGCUGCUAGCUCAGAUCUUUAACCUGAACUAAGUAAUUCAAAGUCUCCAGCCACAGUUGACACAAAUAGGUUAAAAAACCAUGAGAACUGUAAUGAGUAAUGUAGGAACCAAAAAUACAUAUUACAGGUACGACAAAAGAAUACGAAACAUUGAGAUAGAUUACCUUAACGUGAAUCAUUGAGAAGAUA
Molecule: long non-coding RNA, 1107 nt
Filed under: Capsella grandiflora
Lineage: Eukaryota; Viridiplantae; Streptophyta; Magnoliopsida; Brassicales; Brassicaceae
Description: long non-coding RNA (CGRA_LNC000410)
Source: RNAcentral